ACGCUCGACACCUACGGAAGGCAGCAGUGAGGGAUAUUCGGCAAUGGGGGAAACCCUGACCGAGCAACGCCGCGUGAGGGAAGACGGUUUUCGGAUUGUAAACCUCUGUCCUCUGUGAAGAUAGUGACGGUAGCAGAGGAGGGAGCUCCGGCUAACUACGUACCACGCAGCCGCGGUAAUCUGAGCGGGCUGGCAAGGC
This 199-nucleotide ribosomal RNA is filed under the name uncultured bacterium. RNAcentral describes it as "partial 16S ribosomal RNA". It matches the Rfam family "Bacterial small subunit ribosomal RNA", at positions 326 to 539 of the family's 1533-position model. The record is from RNAcentral.